UAGGGAAUCUUCGGCAAUGGGGGCAACCCUGACCGAGCAACGCCGCGUGAGUGAAGAAGGUUUUCGGAUCGUAAAGCUCUGUUGUAAGAGAAGAACGAGUGUGAGAGUGGAAAGUUCACACUGUGACGGUAACUUACCAGAAAGGGACGGCUAACUACGUGCCAGCAGCCGCGGUAAUACGUAGGUCCCGAGCGUUAUCCGGAUUUAUUGGGCGUAAAGCGAGCGCAGGCGGUUAGAUAAGUCUGAAGUUAAAGGCUGUGGCUUAACCAUAGUACGCUUUGGAAACUGUUUAACUUGAGUGCAGAAGGGGAGAGUGGAAUUCCAUGUGUAGCGGUGAAAUGCGUAGAUAUAUGGAGGAACACCGGUGGCGAAAGCGGCUCUCUGGUCUGUAACUGACGCUGAGGCUCGAAAGCGUGGGGAGCAAACAGGAUUAGAUACCCUGGUAGUCCACGCCGUAAACGAUGAGUGCUAGGUGUUAGGCCCUUUCCGGGGCUUAGUGCCGCAGCUGACGCAUUAAGCACUCCGCCUGGGGAGUACGACCGCAAGGUUG
Molecule: ribosomal RNA, 550 nt
Filed under: uncultured bacterium
Lineage: Bacteria
Description: bacterial SSU rRNA
Rfam family: Bacterial small subunit ribosomal RNA
Source: RNAcentral